Molecule: ribosomal RNA, 472 nt
Filed under: uncultured bacterium
Lineage: Bacteria
Description: bacterial SSU rRNA
Rfam family: Bacterial small subunit ribosomal RNA
Source: RNAcentral
UGGGGAAUAUUGGACAAUGGGCGAAAGCCUGAUCCAGCCAUGCCGCGUGUGUGAAGAAGGUCUUCGGAUUGUAAAGCACUUUAAGUUGGGAGGAAGGGCAGUUACCUAAUACGUAUCUGUUUUGACGUUACCGACAGAAUAAGCACCGGCUAACUCUGUGCCAGCAGCCGCGGUAAUACAGAGGGUGCAAGCGUUAAUCGGAAUUACUGGGCGUAAAGCGCGCGUAGGUGGUUUGUUAAGUUGGAUGUGAAAUCCCCGGGCUCAACCUGGGAACUGCAUUCAAAACUGACAAGCUAGAGUAUGGUAGAGGGUGGUGGAAUUUCCUGUGUAGCGGUGAAAUGCGUAGAUAUAGGAAGGAACACCAGUGGCGAAGGCGCUUUACUGGACAGCAACUGACGCUGAGGAACGAAAGCCAGGGUAGCAAAAGGGAUUAGAUACCCACGUAGUCCCUGAGCGGGCUGGCAAGGCGCAU